UUCUUCAACCUCCUCCCUCCACUCAUUUCUUCUCAGAGAGGGUCUGGUGGAAGGCCAGGAGGGGCGGGCUGACCGGGGCAAGGUGCGCCUUCGCCGUUGUUGAGAAGACCGUCGGUGGAAGGAGUUCAAGUGUAUCUUCAGGUUGGAUUUUUGGAUCCCGUCUCCUACCUCUCCCUCUCUUACCUUUUCCUCUUCAGUUUUCUGCAACGCGGUCGUUGCUUCUGCAACGCAUCCGUUGUUUCAGGAGUUCUGGUUGGAUUUUUGGAUCCCGUCUCCUACCUCUCCCUCUCCAUUUAUCUCUCUUUAGUUUUUUGCAACGCAGUCGUUUGUUGCAAAAAUUCUACAACUAAGACGAAGAAAUUUUUUGAAACAUGAUCUUUGUUGUAAAAAUUUCUCCCGCAACAGUACCUGUGUUGCAGAAAGACAGAAAUAAAAUUCUGCAACAAAGCGAUUGUUUCUGGAACUCAACCGUUGUUUCAGGAAUUAAUGGGUCCAAAGUUUAUUUUUUGCAACAAAGCGAUUAUUUCUGCAACUCGACCAUCGUUUCAGAAAUUAUUGGAUGCCCGACAGGAGCCCCGCGCGCGCGGAUCGGACGGCUGCGCGCGUAGAUCGGACGAUCAUUUAGUAAAACAUCCGCCGGUGGAUGUGUAGCAGCCCCCAUUAAGGAAUGUUGAAACUCGAGCGAAGGGCAGCCAAGAUACAACAGGAAGACGAUCAACUCUUUGCAGAUGCUCAUCUGCUGGGAGACUUGGAAUGAAAAGGAUGCGCGAGUUUUCCGCAACAAGGAAUCCCUGCCCACUCGGGUGGCGGCCACAAUCAUGGACGAGGCGAAGACUUGGGUAAUUGUCAGGACUAAAUUUUUGAAAAACGCUUUACCGGGAGAGUGAUCCCUUUUAAUCGGGCCUGUGUGGCCAUGUAACAAUUAAAACUACGUUAUCUUCCUUCUUAUUUAAUGAGAUGAGACAAAGUUUUUGCUUUCGUUUUGAAAAAAUCUGGUUUUACAAGCUUACUUAAAUUCCCAGUUUUGCAUAACAUAAUGAUUUCUCUGUACCAUAAUAUUUGUUGUUGGGAAAAACUAGAACUAGUUUAGUUCUUCUCAACAACAAGUAUUUAGGAACAAAGGAAGUACAUAGCUUGAGAAGUUAAAAGAAGGCUAAUUUUGGUCUACACUCUUGCAUGGUCAUGAAAGUAUCAAUUAUAUCUCUGUUUUGCUCUUCAAUAGAUAUAGGCCCCUUCUUUCUUCUCUAUCUUUAAAGCAUGUCUACGAAAAAGAGAGGCAAUGUAUCUUCAUUCUUCAACAGAGUUUACUUUACUUUCUAUCAAUAAGGCUAAUUGAGGCAAAAUUGAUGUCCAAAUUUAUGUGUGUGUUCGGUUCAUGUCAUGAACUUCAAUCAGGCUAACACAACAAAAGAGCAAACCAAAAAUAGCUAAAUAAGAAAUUGAGGAAUGGAUAAAUUGGGCACCUUAAAUCAGGCUAAUUGUGGUAGGGUUGCUGACUUGCUAGUUGCUACCGGCCGAGUGCCGGACUGGUGACCGGGCGGCUGCCGCCUGUUUCGCAGGGGCGCCACCGCGCCAGACAUCCAUGGACAGGGCAAGGUCGCAGCUCGUAGGAUGGGCGUGGCUGCCGCCGAGGGCCAGGCGGGCGGCAAGGAGUGGAAGGGACCGCUUGCGUGGCUGAGCUCCGGCCAGGGACCGGCCAAGGCGGUGAGCUAGCGAGGAACAUCGAGGCAGUGCCGCAGCGGGGAUGGGACGGCUCAGCCGCUGGGGAGUCUGCCAUCGGGGACCGAAGAACUCGUUGGAUCGACGCGUCUCUGUGCGUGCUAUGUGUGUUGGGUCGAAUAUGAAGUUGGGCUUUUCUUUCUCUGGCCCGUCUAAAUAUGCAUAAGUAUAUAACGCAGUCCAAAAUUUCAGGAUGGGCCGCGACCCACUCUGUACCUCCGCCCCUGCCUAGAGCUGACGCGUGGAAAUUCUCAACAACAACAAAAAAAAACGGACGCACCACUCAAAAAAAAUGACCAUGGGUCGAUGGCAGAGAGGUGACACAACAUGGUGUAGUCAUAAGACCGCCUACAAUCAAAAAUAACAUAGAGUAGUAACAUGUAUAUGUUAUUGUUACUACUUUCUCCGUCUCAGUGUAUAAGUCAUUCUACGAAAAUCAAAUUAUCCAAAAACACUUAGACACAGUGCAUUAACUUUCAUCUCGUUUCUUGUUUUUUGACAUGAAUAAAGGAAUCAACCAAUAAAAGACAUCUGGCGUGUAUGUCUUUAAUGACUUAGACUAACUAGCACAACAUGCAGCGAUUAAUUCAUUGCAUGUAAUGGUAUUAAUUAGCAAAUUAACAUUAAUUUCUUUCAUUUUCCUCUUUGUCUUGGUUGCGGUGCACAACCUAAGAUGAUCUAUACACCGAGACGGAGGGAGUAGUCUAAAUCAUUACCUCCAUAGUGGAUAGUAACAUAAAGGCUUUCAUUUAUUAGCUUAUAGAAUCGUCUUGUCUUCGUAUGUGUGAUGUUAGUCAUAGUAUGAGUAACUAGCUAUAUUACUACUAUUCAAUUUAUCUGUCUCCUCACUAAUUAGCUAUCACAUCAUGUUUUUUGUUUAGGUGUCAUCUAUAUUACUAUCUACGUUACUCCACUUGUUAUGAAUGUGCAACUUAUCUUAUUAGGAGGCUAAAGCCAACAUAUAUACACAUACAUGAGGAUGCAAAAAGGACACGAGGAUGCCAAGAGACUAGAAUGCAAAAGGUCAAAAGACAUUACUAAUACUCCCUCCUUUCAAAUUUGUAAGGCUCAUAUAAACAAAAUAGAUUUUCAUUAUAUUAGGCUUAUUUUGAGUCUAAUUGAGUUACAGUGCUUUGAGUCUCAUGCCAUGUUUAAUUCAUAGAGAUAAGAGAAAGAAAUACUAGUGGUUAUGCAUGCAUCUUUCUCUACAUGCACCUUGCAAGUCCAAUAAAAGGGAGGAUGCUACAUUUA
Molecule: long non-coding RNA, 2970 nt
Filed under: Hordeum vulgare
Lineage: Eukaryota; Viridiplantae; Streptophyta; Magnoliopsida; Poales; Poaceae
Description: long non-coding RNA (HVUL_LNC006023)
Source: RNAcentral